Molecule: ribosomal RNA, 497 nt
Filed under: uncultured bacterium
Lineage: Bacteria
Description: partial 16S ribosomal RNA
Rfam family: Bacterial small subunit ribosomal RNA
Source: RNAcentral
GAUGAACGCUGGCGGCGUGCCUAAUACAUGCAAGUCGAGCGAACAGAUGAGGAGCUUGCUCCUCUGACGUUAGCGGCGGACGGGUGAGUAACACGUGGAUAACCUACCUAUAAGACUGGGAUAACUUCGGGAAACCGGAGCUAAUACCGGAUAAUAUAUUGAACCGCAUGGUUCAAUAGUGAAAGACGGUUUUGCUGUCACUUAUAGAUGGAUCCGCGCCGCAUUAGCUAGUUGGGAAGGUAACGGCUUACCAAGGCAACGAUGCGUGGCCGACGUGAGAGGGUGAUCGGCCACACUGGAGCUGAGACACGGUCCAGACUCCUACGGGAGGCAGCAGUAGGGAAUCGUCCGCAAUGGGCGAAAGCCUUACGGAGCAACGCCGCGUGAGUUAUGAAGGUCUUCGGAUCGUAAAACUCUGUUAUUAGGGAAGAACAAAUGUGUAAGUAACUAUGCACGUCUUGACGGUACCUAAUCAGAAAGCCACGGCUAACUACGUG